UACGUAGGGGGCAAGCGUUGUCCGGAAUUAUUGGGCGUAAAGCGCGCGCAGGCGGCGGUUUAAGUUUGGUGUUUAAGCCCGGGGCUCAACUCCGGUUCGCACUGAAAACUGGAUCGCUUGAGUGCAGGAGAGGGAAGUGGAAUUCCACGUGUAGCGGUGAAAUGCGUAGAGAUGUGGAGGAACACCAGUGGCGAAGGCGACUUCCUGGCCUGUAACUGACGCUGAGGCGCGAAAGCGUGGGGAGCAAACAGG
RNAcentral lists this ribosomal RNA (252 nucleotides) under uncultured bacterium. RNAcentral describes it as "partial 16S ribosomal RNA". It matches the Rfam family "Bacterial small subunit ribosomal RNA", at positions 524 to 776 of the family's 1533-position model. The record is from RNAcentral.